GCAGACCUUAGAAAUCACCUCUUCGCGGUAGAAUUCCCCUAGAAACCGCUGAAAAAUAAGCUUUCCAUUGCUAAAGCCCUCCCCUCCCCCAUCUCCGCUUAAUCUCCCCCACUCCCCAAAUAGGCUGGGGCUGGCCGCAGAUCCACACUCUCCCCGGCCUUGACAUCUUGAUGUUUAACCCCUUAAGUACCCACACUGCCGGCAACACAUUCCCUUUCUGCUGUGACAGUCACAGACUCUCAGCCAAACCAGACCUUCAGAAUCAAAUGGAACCCCGACCCCUGGUCCAUCAAGAAAUGCAGCCUGUGAAAGACAGUUGGAACGAGCCAGCCAGAGUGAUCUUUUUGUCCGUGGCUGAAUCUGUGUGAAAUCUCCACAAGGACAUUAAAAAUGUGUGGCAAGUCAGGAACAGUGUUCACCAGCAGGCUCGAAUCGUGUUGGCUUGAUGGGGUGUAUGCAUGCUCCAGUCCUGUUGGCUUGAUGGGGUGUAUGCAUGUGCCAGUCCUGUUGAUUUGCGAUCGAAAACAGCCCCUGGUUUUAUUUCUCCUGGGGUUUCUGGCCUUAGGAAGCUCUUUUCUGAAGUUAUUGUUAAAUUCUCCCCAAGGGCUGGCUCUGGCCCUCAAGACUUGCUUGGAGAGAGAAUGAGUGCUGUUCCCCAGGUCAGGGUUUCAGAAUGGCUGCAGGAUGCGGCUGGCUCCCAGGACUGCUGUCCCUUGCCAAUUUGGGCACCUCAUAAUUCAAGUCUUUUGCUUUUAAAAUGAGGCUAAAAGUUUCCUCAUGAAGUUAAGUGGAGAUUAAUUCUAUGGCCUAGAAAUUCUACUCCGAGUUAAAACUCAGGCAACUGGAGGCCCAUGCAGCUCUGGCUGUAGCAUCAACCAGCGAUGGAACAUUAUACAGUCCUGAGAGUCCUGUGAUCUGUGAGGAGGGGAGACUCUGCACUGUUGAUCUGACACCCUGCACCAGAGUGCCCCACGUUGAUUAAAUCCAAAAGAUGGGAAACUCAAAUAUGGAAGGCCAACUGCAUAUGGAGCUGGUAUCUGAUGAAAGAUUGAAUGUAAAAAAAAAAAAAGAAGUAUCUUCUACUUGAAACCACAGUUCUACAUGAUUAUUUUAUGUGUGUGGUACAUUCCUGUCCCUCCACACUCCCUCUCCACUCCUCCAAGGCCAACACAGCCAGUGCUCCCCAGCCUGGUCCAGAACAGCCGGCCCCACAGAAGAUGGUGCAUCCUCCUGGUUCUUGGUGGGAAGAGGCAGUCCCCUGCUGUAGGAUUGUGGUGUGAGCAAAGCAGGCCUUUGCAGCAUGGAAAGCACCUCGUGGGUCCAAGGUGGGCUCGGUGGACGGAUGGCAUCCAUUCUUAGGGCACCAGCUGCAGCAGCAGUGGCUGGGACUGUCCUCAGGGACCACUGCAGGUGGUGGAAACCAUAAACCAAUGGGUCCAUGUUCCCAACAGGAAACCUACAGCUGCUCAGAGACAGCUGGGAAGACUGGGGAGGAAGGUGCUGCUGUCACAUAAAUGGGGACAGGACUACCAGCCAGGACAAUUUGGUAAUUACUAUGAAUGUGACUCCAUAUUUUGCAAAGUCUGGGAAGUUAAUAUUUAUACGUGUUUUAAAAUAUUAAAAUGGAUCAUACCCCAGUUUGGUUAAGUAAGUUAUUUGCUUUAACAUGAUCACAUAAACUUUUUUUCUGUAGCUAGAUGAUCGUAAUGGUUUUCAAACUAUGUUCUAUAGUGUCACCCAGUUCUUGAGGCCCGAAAGGUGGUUUCUGUGCUUUCCCAGGGGAAAGAGUUAAUUUUGCAAGGUAGAAAGAGAAAGAAUCUGUGUUCUCACCAUCUAGUAUACCCAGAAUAGCUCUACUUUCAACAGUACCGUCUACUGGGAUUCCAUGAAAGACUGAAUAGAAAAGGGAUGUGUCCUCUAUGAAAAGUAGUUGAAACCACAGUUCUACAUGAUUAUUAAAUGUUGUAUAGUGUUUCAUUAUGUGGAUAAAGGAUAAUUUAUUAAUCAAGCCCCUACUUUUGGACAUUCGGUUUAUAUAUAAGUUAGGAGUUAUGUUCAGCUGCAAAUAUCAAACUCAUGAAAGACAAUAUCUUAGAUACAGGAGGGUUUUAUUUUUCUCAUGUAAAGAAAUAUCUGGAAGGAAGUAGUGCUGGCACUGGUUGUGGUCAUCCUAACACCCCAGGGAGUUCCAGGCAGAGGCUUAAGUCAGAAGGGAGCUGAACAGAUUCACCCCACAAAGCAUUUUCCUGGAGUAUCCCCUUGACUUCUGCUUACAUCUCAUCGGCCACCCACCCCUACCUGCAAAGAAUCCAUGUUAGCAGAACACGUUGCCUCUUUUCUACAAAAAUGGGGUUCGAUUAGUAGAAAAGAAGAGAAUAUUAGAAAAAAACAACUAAGCUAUUGUCAUGAGAAUCCUUUCCGCCAUAUCCUUGAAGUUCCCUCACAACCGAAAUUUUUCCAUACGAUGAAAUCAUUGAAAAGCAAAUUGUUCCUUUACAGAGCCGUGAAUUGUUCUAAGACUUCUCAAAUAAGUUGCCCUUUAGAAAUGUACUAAUUUACAUUCUCGCAAGCAGUGUCUAAUGAAAAAGAACCUAUUUAACAGAAAUAUUGAUAUAAUGUCUCUUUAUUUUUAAGCUUUGCUAAUUUAACAAGCAAAUUUUUCAUUUUUUCUUAACUGUUUAAAAAAAUAUUUGUAAGAUAUGCAAGUUCAUAUCAGCAUGGUGUGUAUGCCCUAGAGCAGGGCUUUUAAAAUUGCAAUGUGUACACAAAUAACCUGGGAUCUCAUUUAAAUGCAGAUUCUGAUGAGACAGGUGAGGGAUGCAGCUGAGAAUCUGCAUUUCAUAAGCCCCUGGAUGUCACCAAGUACUGCUGUGUCACAUUAUGAGUGGCAUGGUCCUAGGGAUCCCAUCAGUGCAAUUGUAGCUUUUGUAAAUCCCUGGAUAAGUUUAUGCCGAAGCCUAGAAGAUGAGAGGAGGAGGGGGCAAGCAGGAGGAAGAAUCCAGAACAAGGCGAUAUACUGUGAGGACCUCAUCGUGUCUGUGGAACACCCCAGUGAGUUGGGGCCCAAGCACUCUGCUGCAGUUUGAAUGUGUUCUCCAAAGUUCACAUGUUGGAAAGUUGCUCCCCAAUGCAUCUGUGUUGAGAGUUGAGACCUUCAAGAGAUGAUGAGGUCAUUUAGGGCUCUGUCCUCAUGAACAGAUGGUCAUUAUCUAGGGAGUAGGUUGUUAUAACAGCCCCUCUUGCUCUCUCUUGUGUGUGCUUUCUUGCUCUUCUGCCUUCUGCCAUGGGAUUGUUACCGGGUUAAGUCAGGGCUGCUUGCCUCUUGAGGGCUAAUAUCGGAGACUAGAAUUGAUGCAAAGGGAUCAGAUUUGUUCAGGGACUGGCCCUAAAGAAGAUGGAGGGCCUCUCAUCCCCAAAGGUCCAUCUUGGGGAGGUGUCAUAGGGAAGGAAAAGUACAGUGAGAUAUAGGUAGGAAGACUGUAGGUUGAGUGGGGUCUUCAUCAUCCAGGGCUUUCUGUCUGUCUGUCUCUCUCUCUCUCUCUCUCUCUGUCUUUCUCUGUCUCCCCCCCAUCUCUCUCUCCUUUCUCCCUCUUUUUCUUCCCUCUAGCCAGAUCCUUGUAAUCCACUUCAACCUUCUGGGGCUAGUUCUUGUACUUUUUUAAAAACAGACAUAUUCUCCUGCAAGUUAAACCACACAGCAGUUUACGCGCUUGGUGUUGGUUGAUACAGAACUAAAGACUAAAAUGUAUUACAAAGAUUACCAGAUGUUUUGGGUUCCAUAGAUCAGAAGAAAGAUUAUUUAGCAGUUAACAUCUUUACCAUUUAGGUGGGGCUUCUCUUUGGAAUUUAGGGUGCUAGACAAAAGGGAGGGGAUGGAAAGCUUGCAGAAGGGCCAAGGGAGUGGCGGUGGCAAUAACUCUGCCAAGGACAACUCCCAGAGGAGCAGCUGCUGCUAUAGGGCGACACAAGAAGACUUUACCAGAUACAGGGCCUCAGUCUUGGAGUUCCCAGUCUCCAGAACAGUGAGAAAUAAAUCUCCAGCUGGAGCUGGAACUCAGUGGUAGAGCGCUUGCCCAGCAUGUGUGAGGCACUGGGUUCGAUUCUCAGCACCCCAUAUAAAUAAAAUAAAGGCUUAUCAACAACUAAAAAAUAUUUUUAAAAAAGAAAAAGAAAGAAAAAAAAAUCUCUAUUCCUGAUUAAUUCCGCAGUCUUGAGUAUUCUGUUGUAGUAACACAAAAUGACCGAGACACCUUACCCAGGCUUCCCACUCCCUUCCUGAGAUUCCUGGCCCUAUGACUCAGGUAGAGCAGUGAAGGAUAGGAGGGGCACUGGAGAGAUUGCCUCUGUUUAUGCUCCUGACCUUGAAAUGUGAAGAUAUAAGGAAAAAUCAUGAAAAGGACAUUGAAAGAGCUUUUCAAAAAGGAGUAGAGAGGCGAUUAGGGAAACCCUUAGGACUUGGACAACUCAAGCCACUGCCCAGAAAUGUGAGCUUCGGUUACCUUCAACCUUGACCUAGAACAGAUUGUGGCCCCAGAGUCGACAUGCACUCAAGAGGCUGCUGCACUUUGAUUUUGUGCACAUUUUUACCAAGUACAUGCAUUCUUUUCUUAAUCUUCUAUCAAUCACACUGUACCUGUCACCACAGCCCUUGUUCUCAACUCCAAAUGACAUUUCACCACAAAAGAAUUUUUACUGCUAAGUAAUAAAACAACACUAUUUGCUCCCAUAAGUUCUCACCUCCCCCACCUUCGAAACACUGAUUUGAAACUGUUUACGUCUGUGUUUUCUGAAUUGCAAUUUCUAAAACCCCAAUAAAGUCCUUUUUAUUGUUACAAUAAAAGGUUGUUCGGAUGGAUCAA
Molecule: long non-coding RNA, 4859 nt
Organism: Ictidomys tridecemlineatus (thirteen-lined ground squirrel)
Lineage: Eukaryota; Metazoa; Chordata; Mammalia; Rodentia; Sciuridae
Source: RefSeq, a predicted model, not a curated record